UGUUCCUGUUUGGAUGCUAAUAAUUUGAUUUGCGAUCGAGGAAUUAGGAUUGAGGUGUCGCGUAAAUUUGUCCAUGGGAAGAAGCGUUUUCCUUCAUAGUGCUUUGUGAAGUGUUGGCCUUCCGAGAUCUAUUUCGUGCAUUUUUAGGAUGUUUCGUAUAACUCUAGAAGCUUUGUUACGAAUUUUUCCUUACAUGCCGCGUAUUAUGGGUAAAACGUUGCGGGUUUCAAGUGAAUUGUGGAUCGUAUUGAACUUGGUCAAUUUUCGAAAAGUUUAGAUUUUUCGUUAACCAUUUGGUUGUUAGGACUGAGUUUCGUUACGAAGAAUUUAUCAUAUGAUUUCCGACUGUGGGCUAUACGAUAAUUGUUCUCUUAAUAGUCACACGACGUUUUAAGACAAAUCUUAGAUUGUCGUUUAGUUGUUAAGUGAUGGAGCGAUGGUUUCUCAAAUAGUUUGGCUUGGCGAGAAGGAUGUGUUCACUCAGAUAGCCAAGGAUGUUGUAGGUUAAGGAUUAGACCAUGGUGCUUUAACAUUUAAGGUCAUGUUAGUUUACAAUCGUCCUUUAAAGGUGGUGGCAAAUAUUUGUUUGGUCCUUUAGUGGAAGGCGUAAUUGAUCGAUGGCCAAAAAGCGCUUGUCAAGAUUGAUAGGCCAAGUUGUUAUCCGUGCUAAUAUGGCCGAUAGUCGUAGAAAACCAUUCUCCGCUCUAGGUUUCAGUUAUACGAUGAAUAUUUCGUAUAAUGUGACCUAUAGUCUUAUGACAAUCGAGUCUUUUUGUCUGAGGAAGACGAAGCCCAAGAGGUUUGCUAUACAAGACAUACUUCUUCAUAAGGCAUGUUAUGUUAACUUUAGAUUUCUUCGUAAGACUUGGUCUGAUCGUACGAAGGAUUUUUCGCGUAAGUAAUGGGGACCGGUUUUACGAAGGUUGUAAAUUGGUGAUACGUAUACAUAUGUCAAAGUAGCGUUGUUUCUGCGGGUUUUACAAGAAACGUUUCUGCUGUGAUUUCGAUCCUAGGUGAAAGUUGCUUGGAGUUACUCAUGGAAUGUUACCGAAGUUUAUUUCAUUACGAUCUAGUGGCAUAACGUUUUUCAUAGGUUUUUUUUAGCGGAUUCUCAUGACACAUUCGUUUCUGGAACGAAUUGGUCAACCAGAGGGGGAUCUAGCUAACCAUCAGGAGGAAAGUGUUCCUUUUAAUGUGCACGAUGCUACAUCUAUUCUUGAGUUUUCUUCGUCGCAAAUGUUUUUGAUGCUUUUCCGUGACUUACUUGGUACAACGGAAACUGAAAGAAAUGCCUUGGUGAUUGAAGAUUUCUCGUAGAAAAUUUUAAACGAAUAUGGCUUUCUAAAGCCGGAAAGGGCUUCAAUACUUUGGCUAAACGUCGAGUUUCAGUUUGAUAUUGAUACAGGUUUUCUGUACGCAUGAUUGCGAUAAGAAAUGAUGUAUAGUCUUUGAGAUUAUGUUCAUGAUCGUCUGGAUAUGAUGCUAAAGUUUAGACGAAUUUUAGAUUGUCGUUUGCCUAUUGGGACGAUUUGCUUUGACGAAAUCGUUUUCUUGACGAUUUGCAAAAGUUUUUGAAGUUUUGGAGUAUACGAGUAUAGUAUAUGUACUUACUCCCCUUUUUUUUUUACGAAAGAAAACGGUUGAACCGAUCCUUUGAAGGGUUGUGUACGUUUCUUUUUCUGAGGUUUGGAAUGAUCGAUAAUCCGGGACGAUUUAAAGACGACGCUUGGACUGUGAUUUGGUUGUUUCCACGUUGACGACUUGGAAUAUGUUGGUUCCAAGAAAUUGCUAGUAACGAAUCGGUUUUAAGACGACGUUGAUGUCUCUAGUUUUUUCUCUCUUUAGGAAGCGAUCUUGAUAUGCAUGGCGAUCGUUUCUUGAUUUUCGGAGAGUUUAGAUCGGUUUGCAAGAUCUGGCUGAACAGUUAUGGAACGAUAUAUCGAGACAGGAAAAAUCGCCUAAGACUUAGUUUGCUAGACUAUCCACCUAGGUUUUACGUUCCCUAAAGUUCUAUGGCAGUCUCAAAGGCGUUUUUAUUUCUUAGUUAUUUCUUACGACAAUUCCAAGUCUGAUUUCAAAAAUUUCAAGUCGAAAAUACCUUAGUUCUCUCGAAGAUGCAGUUUUGUCUCUUCUCAAUUUUGUUUGCUCAUUUUCCCUUCCUCUUCUCGUGUAUGGUCGCCAUUUCGAUAUUGGUGUUUAUCCUUUGAAAUUUGUCAUUUGUCUUCCGAAUUUGACUGUUAUCUUCUCCUUAAAAACGACGUCAAUUUUAUAAAAGGUUCAACGUAGUCGUAUAGUUAAGGCCGCUAAGGUGUUAAGUUAACCGCUGCCGUUUUAUACGAUCAAUCUGAAUCCAUGCACGAAAACAAGUCUUUGCGGUUUUUUUAUUGUAAAGUUUCAAUGGUAACUCCAAUCAAGACAAAAAAAGAGACUUUUCGAUCGAGAUUUGAAGGAGAACACACUAAGAUGGAGGUAAGGGCGAGUAGGAGCAACCGAAGGAGUUUAGACGAGUCUUACUUGUUUUCGUCGUAAAAUCUCAAAGGAAACUCCGAUUGACACGAAACGAAAAGCGUUUCGAUGAGGAUUUAAAAGAGAACCUAAAGGAGGACCUUUCAGAGGCCUGACAGGUCGCUAUGUAGCGAUUGAAGGCCUGACAGGUUGCUACGUAGCGAGUGGAAGCAAGCCAAGAAGAGUCCUACUUGUUUUCGCCGUAAAAUCUCAAAGGACACUCCGAUUGAGACGAAACGAAAAGCGUUUCGAUGAGGAUUCAAAAGAGAACCCAAAGGAGGAUCUUUUUGAGGCCUGACAAGUCGCUAUGUAGCGAGUGAAGGUUGGCUUGAGCUCGGUCGCUACGUAGCGACCGAGCUGUGUGCGUGCUCGAUCGCUACGUAGCGAGCUGUGUUCGUGCUCGGUCGCUACGUAGCGACCGAGCUGUGUACGUGCUCGGUCGCUACGUAGUGACCGAGCCUUUUGCGUGCUCAGUCGCUACGUAGCGACCAAGCUUGGCUAGAGCUUGAUUGCUACGUAGCGACCGAGCUUUGUAAUCGAUUUGCUGUGCUUCCUUUUUCCGCGAUUAACCUAGGGGUUUUCUGCGGUUUUUGGGAGAACAAGUUUUAGCCUUCCGAAAUGUUUUCGGAAAACUUGUUUUGGUAAAAGCCUUACGCAUGGAGAUUUCUUUUGUUCGGUAAUGAGCCAAACUUACGGAGUUUUGAUAAUAUUUAUUGUUUUCCUUCGUGUUUACAGGGAGAAAUCGAGAGCUUGUUUUAGUGAAAGGUCGCGACUAAGUUUUUGAUUUUGUUGAACACUGCGGCGUUUUCAUAAGCGUUCGCCAUAGGAGCAGUCAGUGCUGCGAGUUUUUCUUUCAUAUAUCCAGACAUCGUUUCGAUCAAGCGUUUUGAGGCCAUGAGUAAGAGUAAUUCGUAACCCCCCCCCCCCCCCCUCCUUCUAGCGCCAAACUGUGGGAACCAAAAUUCGCACUGUAGAUUUACGUUUAAAUUAGUAAAAUAAGAAAACCCAAAUUUCCCAAAGGUCCCGGAUCUCUGCGAGAGCCAACGACAAGUGACCAAAUAUAUGCGGAAAUCGUGAAAAGAUAACAAACGAGUUUAGAGAAAACAGUAUAUCUUAUUUCGAGUCCACGUAAGAGUGUUGCGAUCAUUACAA
Long non-coding RNA from Brassica rapa (field mustard), 3657 nucleotides. RefSeq lists it as uncharacterized. NCBI's taxonomy places the organism in Eukaryota, Viridiplantae, Streptophyta, Magnoliopsida, Brassicales, Brassicaceae. The record is from RefSeq and is a predicted model, not a curated record.